AGAGUUUGAUCAUGGCUCAGAGUGAACGCUGGCGGCAGGCCUAACACAUGCAAGUCGUGCGCGAAAGGGAGCAAUCCUGAGUAAGCGGCGAACGGGUGAGUAACACGUGGUUAACCUGCCUGGAUGUGGGGGAUACCCCGGGGAAACUCGGGACAAUACCGCAUGAUGUCUCUCGGGCGUCGGCCCGGAGAGCAAAGCCGGGGACCGCAAGGCCUGGCGCAUCCGGAGGGGACCGCGGCCGAUUAGCUAGUUGGCGGGGUAAUGGCCCACCAAGGCGACGAUCGAUAGCCGGCCUGAGAGGGUGAUCGGCCACACCGGAACUGAGACACGGUCCGGACUCCUACGGGAGGCAGCAGUGGGGAAUUUUGCGCAAUGGGCGAAAGCCUGACGCAGCAACGCCGCGUGGAGGAUGAAGGUGCUCUGCAUUGUAAACUCCUGUCGGCCGGGAAGAAUCGGCGGGGUGCUAAUCAGCCCCGUCUUGACUGUACCGGCAAAGGAAGCCCCGGCUAACUCCGUG
This 517-nucleotide ribosomal RNA is filed under the name uncultured bacterium. RNAcentral's name for it is "bacterial SSU rRNA". It matches the Rfam family "Bacterial small subunit ribosomal RNA", at positions 8 to 507 of the family's 1533-position model. The record is from RNAcentral.